Molecule: ribosomal RNA, 497 nt
Filed under: uncultured bacterium
Lineage: Bacteria
Description: partial 16S ribosomal RNA
Rfam family: Bacterial small subunit ribosomal RNA
Source: RNAcentral
GAUGAACGCUGGCGGCGUGCCUAAUACAUGCAAGUCGAGCGAACAGACGAGGAACUUGCUCCUCUGACGUUAGCGGCGGACGGGUGCGUAACACGUGGAUAACCUACCUAUAAGACUGGGAUAACUUCGGGAAACCGGAGCUAAUACCGGAUAAUAUAUUGAACCGCAUGGUUCAAUAGUGAAAGACGGUUUUGCUGUCACUUAUAGAUGGAUCCGCGCCGCAUUAGCUAGUUGGUAAGGUAACGGCUUACCAAGGCAACGAUGCGUAGCCGACCUGAGAGGGUGAUCGGCCACACUGGAACUGAGACACGGUCCAGACUCCUACGGGAGGCAGCAGUAGGGAAUCUUCCGCAAUGGGCGAAAGCCUGACGGAGCAACGCCGCGUGAGUGAUGAAGGUCUUCGGAUCGUAAAACUCUGUUAUUAGGGAAGAACAAAUGUGUAAGUAACUAUGCACGUCUUGACGGUACCUAAUCAGAAAGCCACGGCUAACUACGUG